AAAGCACUUUUGUUCGGGAAGAAACUGCUCUGGAUAAUACCUGGAGUANAUGACGGUACCGGAAGAAUAAGCACCGGCUAACUACGUGCCAGCAGCCGCGGUAAUACGUAGGGUGCAAGCGUUAAUCGGAAUUACUGGGCGUAAAGCGUGCGCAGGCGGUUUGUUAAGACAGAUGUGAAAUCCCCGGGCUCAACCUGGGAACUGCAUUUGUGACUGGCAAGCUAGAGUAUGGCAGAGGGGGGUGGAAUUCCGCGUGUAGCAGUGAAAUGCGUAGAUAUGCGGAGGAACACCGAUGGCGAAGGCAGCCCCCUGGGCCAAUACUGACGCUCAUGCACGAAAGCGUGGGGAGCAAA
This 353-nucleotide ribosomal RNA is filed under the name uncultured beta proteobacterium. Its description in RNAcentral is "bacterial SSU rRNA". It matches the Rfam family "Bacterial small subunit ribosomal RNA", at positions 427 to 772 of the family's 1533-position model. Lineage: Bacteria; Pseudomonadati; Pseudomonadota; Betaproteobacteria. The record is from RNAcentral.